GCGUCCGUAGCUCAGCUGGAUAGAGCAACUGACUUCGGAUCAGUAGGUCGGGGGUUCGAAUCCCUCCGGGCGUA
RNAcentral lists this transfer RNA (74 nucleotides) under bacterium. RNAcentral's name for it is "tRNA-Arg". It matches the Rfam family "tRNA". Rfam says of the family: Transfer RNA (tRNA) molecules are approximately 80 nucleotides in length. Their secondary structure includes four short double-helical elements and three loops (D, anti-codon, and T loops). The record is from RNAcentral. RNAcentral also lists the same sequence under 2 other names.